AUACUUACCUGGCAGGGGAGAUACCAUGAUCAGGAAGGUGGUCCUUCCAGGGUGAGGCUUUGCCACUGCACUUCAGGUGUGCUGACCCCUGCGGUUUCCCCACGUGCGGGAAACUCGACUGCAUAAUUUAUGGUAGUGGGGGACUGCGUUCGCGCUCUCCCCUG
Molecule: small nuclear RNA, 164 nt
Filed under: Urocitellus parryii (Arctic ground squirrel)
Lineage: Eukaryota; Metazoa; Chordata; Mammalia; Rodentia; Sciuridae
Description: U1 spliceosomal RNA (ENSUPAG00010001517.1)
Rfam family: U1 spliceosomal RNA
About the family: U1 is a small nuclear RNA (snRNA) component of the spliceosome (involved in pre-mRNA splicing).
Source: Rfam by way of RNAcentral